UACGUAGGGUGCGAGCGUCAAUCGGAAUUACUGGGCGUAAAGCGUGCGCAGGCGGUUCGUUAAGUUCGUCGUGAAAGCCCCAAGCUUAACUUGGGAACUGCGCUCGAAACUACUUGGCUAGAGGGUGGUAGAGGCGAGUGGAAUUCCCGGUGUAGCGGUGAAAUGCGCAGAUAUCGGGAGGAACACCAGUAGCGAAGGCGGCUCGCUGGGCCACACCUGACGCUGAGACGCGAAAGCUAGGGGAGCGAACAGG
This 253-nucleotide ribosomal RNA is filed under the name uncultured bacterium. RNAcentral describes it as "partial 16S ribosomal RNA". It matches the Rfam family "Bacterial small subunit ribosomal RNA", at positions 524 to 776 of the family's 1533-position model. The record is from RNAcentral.